AGUGAAUGAGUUACUGCAUUUGCUUGAUUCACUCGAAAAGCUAAGCUAUCUCUGCAUCAAUGGAGCGUGAAACCACAAGCAGCCGCGGUUCUUCCAGGAAGCUAUCAUUAGAGCAAAUCGCAGCAAUGACGAAUGCCACCAUCAACAAAAUCCACUUUUCAAACUCGCGAGAGCGUCUUCGCAACGGCACAACCGUAACCUACCAUGACUGCACCUCCGUAGGUUACGGCUGGCUUCUUCCAGGUUGGGUCGCCGAGGAACGGCGAGUCCAAAGUGGAAGAAUUUAUAGGUACUACUACGACCCAAAUGGAUCGUUUUACGAAAGCCAACAAAAGGUGUUGGAGUUCUUGGAGCAAUUCUGGGGAAUAAUCGUUCUUGACACUUAGAUCUCGGAGAUCUUUGUGUUGCACUCUUAGGAGUACUUGUUGUGGCAAACCAGACACAGAUGGGGACCCUUUAGUUUAAAUUAAUUAAUAAUGUCUUCGUUUGUUGUUGUUUUUUUUUUCUUUUGUUCUUGAAUAUCAAUGGCUAUUUUCUCAA
Molecule: long non-coding RNA, 540 nt
Organism: Vigna angularis (adzuki bean)
Lineage: Eukaryota; Viridiplantae; Streptophyta; Magnoliopsida; Fabales; Fabaceae
Exons: 3
Source: RefSeq, a predicted model, not a curated record